UGCAAGUCGAACGGGACUUUUUUCUGUAGCAAUACAGAAAAAAGUCUAGUGGCGAACGGGUGCGUAACACGUGAGCAACCUGCCGUGAAGUGGGGGAUAGCUCGCCGAAAGGCGAAUUAAUACCGCAUGUGGCCAAGGAAGACAUCUUCCUGACGCCAAAGCCGGGGCAACCUGGCGCUUCUCGAGGGGCUCGCGGCCUAUCAGCUUGUUGGUGAGGUAACGGCUCACCAAGGCUAUGACGGGUAGCUGGUCUGAGAGGACGACCAGCCACACUGGAACUGAGACACGGUCCAGACACCUACGGGUGGCAGCAGUCGAGAAUUUUUCACAAUGGGGGAAACCCUGAUGGAGCGACGCCGCGUGGAGGAUGAAGGUUUUCGGAUUGUAAACUCCUGUCAUUAGAGAACAAGGCACGCGGUGGAACUGACCGUGUGUUGAUAGUAUCUGAAGAGGAAGAGACGGCUAACUCUGUGCCAGCAGCCGCGGUAAUACAGAGGUCUCAAGCGUUGUUCGGAUUCAUUGGGCGUAAAGGGUGCGUAGGUGGCGAUGUAAGUCGGAUGUGAAAUCUCCAAGCUUAACUUGGAAACUGCAUUCGAUACUGCGUUGCUAGAGGACUGUAGAGGGCAUUGGAAUUCACGGUGUAGCAGUGAAAUGCGUAGAUAUCGUGAGGAAGACCAGUGGCGAAGGCGAAUGCCUGGGC
Molecule: ribosomal RNA, 700 nt
Filed under: uncultured bacterium
Lineage: Bacteria
Description: bacterial SSU rRNA
Rfam family: Bacterial small subunit ribosomal RNA
Source: RNAcentral